GGGUCAGUAGGUUGGUCGUGCCACCGGUACGUACUGGUCUCACUGAUUCCUCCUUCCUGAAGAACCGUAAUGCCAUUAAUUUGGUGUUGCGGGGAAACAGGACUGUUACUUUGAAAAAAUUAGAGUGUUUAAAGCAAGCUAACGCUUGAAUACAUUAGCAUGGAAUAAUGUAAUAGGACGAUCGAUCCUAUUUUGUUGGUUUCUAGGAUUGACGUA
RNAcentral lists this ribosomal RNA (216 nucleotides) under Glomeromycotina sp. RNAcentral's name for it is "partial small subunit ribosomal RNA". The stretch from base 40 to 216 matches the Rfam family "Eukaryotic small subunit ribosomal RNA", at positions 686 to 864 of the family's 1831-position model. Lineage: Eukaryota; Fungi; Glomeromycota. The record is from RNAcentral.